RNAcentral lists this ribosomal RNA (516 nucleotides) under uncultured bacterium. RNAcentral describes it as "partial 16S ribosomal RNA". It matches the Rfam family "Bacterial small subunit ribosomal RNA", at positions 28 to 523 of the family's 1533-position model. The record is from RNAcentral.
GACGAACGCUGGCGGCGUGCCUAAUACAUGCAAGUCGAGCGGACUUGAUGAAGUGCUUGCACUUCUGAUGGUUAGCGGCGGACGGGUGAGUAACACGUAGGUAACCUGCCUAUAAGACUGGGAUAACAUUCGGAAACGAAUGCUAAUACCGGAUACGCGAAUUGGUCGCAUGGCCGAAUCGGGAAAGACGGAGCAAUCUGUCACUUAUAGAUGGACCUGCGGCGCAUUAGCUAGUUGGUGAGGUAACGGCUCACCAAGGCGACGAUGCGUAGCCGACCUGAUGGGGUGAUCGGCCACACUGGGAAUGAGACACGGCCCAGACUCCUACGGGAGGCAGCAGUAGGGAAUCUUCCGCAAUGGACGAAAGUCUGACGGAGCAACGCCGCGUGAGUGAUGAAGGUUUUCGGAUCGUAAAGCUCUGUUGCCAGGGAAGAACGCUUGGGAGAGUAACUGCUGUCAAGGUGACGGUACCUGAGAAGAAAGCCCCGGCUAACUACGUGCCAGCAGCCGCCGUAA